CGGACGGGUGAGUAAUGUCUGGGAAACUGCCUGAUGGAGGGGGAUAACUACUGGAAACGGUAGCUAAUACCGCAUAACGUCGCAAGACCAAAGAGGGGGACCUUCGGGCCUCUUGCCACCGGAUGUGCCCAGAUGGGAUUAGCUAGUAGGUGGGGUAACGGCUCACCUAGGCGACGAUCCCUAGCUGGUCUGAGAGGAUGACCAGCCACACUGGAACUGAGACACGGUCCAG
This 232-nucleotide ribosomal RNA is filed under the name uncultured bacterium. RNAcentral's name for it is "partial 16S ribosomal RNA". It matches the Rfam family "Bacterial small subunit ribosomal RNA", at positions 99 to 334 of the family's 1533-position model. The record is from RNAcentral.